AGCAAAGUCAGUGAACCCUGAACCCAAACCCAGACACCCAGAUCAGUUGUUUGAGACUUCGUAAGACUCAGACUUUGAAACUGGCCUCUCAAUGUAAACUCCGUCCACCCACUGAAUUGGGCUCAGUUACAGAGGAGUGAAUGUCGAGAGUGCAGAGAAGGUUUUGAUCCGGAGGCGGGGUCUGACGAUCACACUCAUUGCCACGUGAAACCAUGGUUACUGUAGUAAAACCAAGGACCACCCAUUGGGCUCCGAGGAGAGAGAUUCCCUGCACGAUGUCUCUAUGGAAUAUUAAUGGGCUUCUCCUGGGAAAACUGCCCACAGAAUGGGCUACUCCAUCGCUGUCUCUGUUUCCGCUCAGCUGUCCUCUGGUUAUGUGAGGGUGUGCACUCCUUCAGUCCAAUCCUGCCUGGAGAAAUGGAAAAAAACACUUCAAGCUGUUGUAUUGAUGUUUCAUUAAAGACCCAAUGAAAUCAAAAUAAGAAUUUUGUGGCUUUUAGUCCAUGUGUGUUAGUAUUGAGGACAUGUACAGGUAUAUGCUAGUGUACUCCUAAAUUUGUACAAAAUUCACUGGAGAUCAUACCAAAAAAUAUUGAUGACUUAUCUGAUUGGAUAUUUUUGUCCAAUCAA
Molecule: long non-coding RNA, 630 nt
Organism: Xyrauchen texanus (razorback sucker)
Lineage: Eukaryota; Metazoa; Chordata; Actinopteri; Cypriniformes; Catostomidae
Exons: 3
Source: RefSeq, a predicted model, not a curated record